Molecule: ribosomal RNA, 301 nt
Filed under: uncultured bacterium
Lineage: Bacteria
Description: partial 16S ribosomal RNA
Rfam family: Bacterial small subunit ribosomal RNA
Source: RNAcentral
CAGCCGCCGCGGUAAUACGAGGGGGGCAAGCGUUGUUCGGAAUUAUUGGGCGUAAAGGGCGCGUAGGCGGUUUGACAAGUCUGAUGUGAAAUCUAUGGGCUCAACCCAUAGCCUGCAUUAGAAACUGUCGGGCUUGAGUAUGGGAGAGGUGAGUGGAAUUUCCGGUGUAGCGGUGAAAUGCGUAGAUAUCGGAAGGAACACCUGUGGCGAAAGCGGCUCACUGGACCAUAACUGACGCUGAGGCGCGAAAGCUAGGGGAGCAAACAGGAUUAGAUACCCCAGUAGUCCCUGUCUCUUAUAC